CUCUUAUCGAGAGCGGUGGAGGGACUGGCCCGAUGAAACCCGGCAACCGGCAUCAGGCACGGUGCUAAAUCCAGCAGGGUUAUCCCUGAAAGAUGAGAG
RNAcentral lists this non-coding RNA (99 nucleotides) under Caldanaerobius fijiensis. RNAcentral's name for it is "SAM-I sequence". It matches the Rfam family "SAM riboswitch aptamer (S box leader)". From Rfam's summary of the family: The SAM riboswitch is found upstream of a number of genes which code for proteins involved in methionine or cysteine biosynthesis in Gram-positive bacteria. The SAM riboswitch acts at the level of transcription termination control. The record is from RNAcentral. Lineage: Bacteria; Bacillati; Bacillota; Clostridia; Thermoanaerobacterales; Thermoanaerobacteraceae. RNAcentral also lists the same sequence under 1 other name.